AGUGAACGCUGGCGGUAGGCCUAACACAUGCAAGUCGAACGGCAGCACAGUAAGAUCUUGCUCUUACGGGUGGCGAGUGGCGGACGGGUGAGGAAUACAUCGGAAUCUACUUUUUCGUGGGGGAUAACGUAGGGAAACUUACGCUAAUACAGCAUAAGACCUACGGGUGAAAGCAGGGGAUCUUCGGACCUUGCGCGAUUGAAUGAGCCGAUGUCGGAUUAGCUAGUUGGCGGGGUAAAGGCCCACCAAGGCGACGAUCCGUAGCUGGUCUGAGAGGAUGAUCAGCCACACUGGAACUGAGACACGGUCCAGACUCCUACGGGAGGCAGCAGUGGGGAAUAUUGGACAAUGGGCGCAAGCCUGGUACAGCCAUACCGCGUGGGUGAAGAAGGCCUUCGGGUUGUAAAGCCCUUUUGUUGGGAAAGAAAAGCAGCAGGUUAAUACCCCGCGGUUCUGACGGUACCCAACGAAUAAGCACCGGCUAACUUCGUG
This 492-nucleotide ribosomal RNA is filed under the name uncultured bacterium. RNAcentral describes it as "partial 16S ribosomal RNA". It matches the Rfam family "Bacterial small subunit ribosomal RNA", at positions 29 to 507 of the family's 1533-position model. The record is from RNAcentral.